CACCUGGAUCUCAGACUUACAGCCUCCAGAACUGUGAGAAAUAAAACUUCUAUUGUUUAAGCCGUAUAAUCUGUGAUAUUUUGCUAUGGCGGCUCAAGCAGUUUAAUACACGUAUACUGUCCAAUUUGAUGUUCACAGUCACCUGAUAAGAUAGGUACCCCCAUUUUCAGAGAGGGAGAGAUGGAGGCCUAGAGAGAAUAACAUGCUUUUGGUCACACAUAGUGGCACAACCCUGCUUUAAACCUGGACUGCCUGAACCCAACGCUCAGGAACAAGAAAAGCAGAAGUGUCUGUCCUCCAAGACCUUAGAAAUUAGCUGUAGGGGCAUGACUAAAAUGCCUGCACUAGACUGCGCGGGCGCUGCCCUAAUCACUCCCUCAAUUUCCUGUUCUGAGUUUCUGAUGACCCAGGGCACGUGUCCCCUUUGACACCUCCUACUCCCUCCUACUCAGUCCAACACCCCUCUCUCCCAAAAGCUUUCUUUGCUCUCAGAUGCCAACAUCUCUCAGCUCAUCACUCCAGAAGCCCUUGGCAGCACACAGCUGAUUUGCUUCUGUCUUUUAUCACUUCAUCCCUAAUACUCACCCCCACCUCCCAGUUUCUUCCCUCCUGGGUCUCCUCCAUCAGGCUGUCCCCUUCAUUCCCCAGGCACCUGCCCCCACCGCAGCCCACACGACCUCUCCCUGGGGUUGCUGCAAAAGCUUCCAGAUCUGUAGCUCUGCUUCGAGCCCGACCCGAUCAAGCGCUUAAUUCAAACUCUGUUGGAUUCUUCCAUGUGGGGUUGGCCGUUUAGUUCUCAUGAAGAUUCCAGUAGCACUGAGGGCAGCGGCUACACCCUUACCUUUCCUUUAUGCUUCCUAAUGGCAAGAGUGGUUCUGACAUUUUUUUCCCUUACUAUCAAGCACUCUUUUGAGAAUCCAAUGAAGACAAUGGACUCUCCCAGGAACAAAACACGUAUACAAAAAAAUUGGCUGACAGCUCCAUACUGCCAGAGGUUUAUGACCCCUAAGUUAAGACCCCUGCUCUCUGGGCACUGAUCACGAGGCUGGACAGCCAGCAAAUGUGCACCCCAUUUCCUGCUCUCAGCCCUGGUGAAUGUUACUGAAAAGCCACUUUGUGCAUGAAGGUUCAUGAGGGCGGAAGUCGUCUGGCAGGGCUUGACUAAGGUGGGGCUGGAUCUAGAUUUUCAGGUAUGGGUAGGAUUAAAGAAGGAGGGCAGGGAAAAGGGUAUUCAAAGCAGGGGAAAAUGCAUGAAUGCGGGCACGGCGUGGAGGGCAUCAAGGUGAGCCACUUGAAGAGCUGUAAGAGCAGGCUGGACAGGAGCGCCAAGGAGGUGGGAGUGUAAGGUCGUAUCAAAUCUGACUUGGCACAGAGGGCAAUGAGGAGCCUGUAUGAGUUUCUAAGCAGAGGAAACACGUGAUGAUAGUGACGUUCAAACAAGUGGACAGAGAAGAGAAGAGAGGCGGGCAGGAAGCAGAAAGGCUGGUUAAAACAGCUUUGAUGGUAGCAGUGGGAAUGGAGAGGCAGAGAAGAACUGGAGGAAUGUUCCAGAAGAAGAACCAGGAUCUGGUGAAGGAUGGAAUAAGGGAUCCAGAGUUGGAAGAAGCCUGGGAGAUUGGCAGGGCAGUGAAGCAGGGGGCAAAACCAUGGGUGGUACCUUCCUCACAGGACGGUGUGCCAUGCGCCAGACGAAAACCAGCACAGAUGUCCCCUUUAUCAACUUAGUCUAAACCAGACGCCAGUGUAUGUAUGCACCCAAUAUGCUUCCCAGAAAACCUGCAGUCAGUUCUACCAAAUUCUAUUGAGUGAAAUAAACACAUGAGUAAUGUUUCCAGGAUGAACAUUAAAAUGCCCACAUUGAAAACAUCCCAGAGAACCAUCUAUUCUAGGGAGCACAUGGUGCCCUGCGUGGAACCUGCUUUUAAUGCAACAGCAUCUAAUCGUCAGUCACGUCCUCAUUCUGCUGCCUAAGGCAUUCUCUACCAGAGCAGCAUUAAUAACGCCCACUAGCAUUUCUGUUGGCUUCACAUAGCUCCACUUCACGGUCUAACGAAGGCAUGCCCAGGGGUUCCGAUCUUGGCAUCAUCUGAGGGUGCGCGUGCAUCUAAGGAUGCUCUCACAGGAGACAGUCACUUGUCACAAGCCUUUGCAUAGGCACAAAAGCGUGUUGAAGCAGCAGCAGCAGCAUUGCUCACCCAGGUUCCCCACGCACAUCAAAAUUGCCCUCCAGCACCGAGCUGUGUGUAUGUGUGCCUGGUAACAGUUGGAAGUUGAGACUAAGUUAAGUUUAUUGAUGCUGGGAUGAUACAAACUACUUCAGUGUCUGAAACUUUCUCCAUUGUGCUCAACCAUUUUAAGUUAAAUAUGGCAUGAACUUAAAUUUGGGGCAGGGGGCGGGUGGGGAGAGCAACUCAUCAUCGCUUUGUAAAUUAAAACAGUGAGUUCUAAUUGUUCAGAGGAAGACCAGAUUCAAUAAAGACACAUUCCAACCAGGUUGGAGGAGGUGCAGGCUUACCAUUAGGACAGAGGCCCAAGGGCGCCUGGGACCAGCCGUAGGCUGGAGGAGUCAGUGUGAAUUAAUGGCAAUGGGGACUACACACUGGGUCCUGUUCCCCACCUCCCACCCCCAGAGCCUUCACUAGUUGGGGAGGCACACUGCCCAAACUUGUACUGUGCUUCUGGGGUGAGUUAACUUUUAAACAUUAAAACAAGCAGUCAAAAUAUGAAAGAAAAUUUCAAGGCUUUGACAUUCUUUUCACCUUUUUUGUUGAGUCUCCCUGUACCUCCAAAAAUGAUUCCUCAGGUUAUCAGAUGCUUUGUUGCUGAAAGUUAGGAGUCUUUAGCAGAGGAGCUCAGGCACCAUAGAUGAGCUCUGAAUGGCAGCUUUGAAGAAUGUUUAAAUGAAGCUGUGGUUUGGGGCAUUUUCCAGCACAGAAUUCAGUAGACACAUUUGAUUUCCAUGACUAUUAGCACAAGAGAGAGUGUUUUAAAUCAGGCGUGCUAUGUAUGCAGUUCAAUACUUCCUGACAGGAGCUUACAUCAAGCAAUCUGGAUGACCCACGUGCUAUCAGAAUGUUGGUCCUGGUUGUUCUUAUUAUUUGGUCUGGAAAGAUCUUGAGUUAGCUCGUCGGUGCCAAUGGUUCCACGUGAGUGGCCUGGGAGCUCUCCUGAGCAGCGUGCUGUCUUUUCUAGAGCUAACCUCCCUUCCCCACUUGGCUUUAAGGCCAACCACAGUCUCUCUCAGGGUUUGAGAGAGCAAGGCUGGGUUAGGGGCAGUGACAUCAGGUGUCCCACAAUGGGAGCACACAUUCCUUCCUCUUAGAAAUAGACCUAUAAGCUGAGGUCAACCAGACAACUUCUAGAAACAGGAAUAGAAGGAGCAGAAGCAAGGGUCAAGCUGGAUGGGCUCAGCUUUGUUGUCUCUCCCCCCCAGGGAGUGGAGGAGAGGCGGGAACGGAAACACUGCCUGUGCAUUUACCAUGUGGCUCUUGCUAUCUUACCCCAUGAGCCAGCCAUCAUGAUUCCCAUUUUGGAGAUAUGGAAACAGAGUUCUGGGGCUCUGGACACUUAUUAUUCUAUAUACAUUUGGUUGCUUGCUUUUUGAAAGUGUUUUGUGUAGGAAGCAAAGUGGUGCGAGAUGGAACUGAUAGCUAAAAUGCAUUAUUAGAUGCUCUGUGAAUGUCAUCUAUGGUUACUAUUCGUUGGCCUGUGUGAUUCUCAGGAAGGGUGGCAGCCAGGGAAAGAUGGUCCAACACAGUGUUUCAAUGAGUUACUGCAUCCUCAUGGGGUACAACAUUGGCUCAAGAACACAAGGUCAGUCCUCCUAUAGGAACCGAUCAUGGAGAUCCAUUUAAGACCUGACCAUUCCUCUCUGGCAUAAACUCUGCUCAUGAACAGCAUCACAUGCUCUCGGGCUGCUUCGUUCUUUCCCAUAGAAUUCUGAUUCUGUUUGGAUCUCGAGUUUGACCACAAAACCAAACUAGACCAAACCAACUACCAAAUAAACAACCAAAAAAUAUGUUUGUUGGAUUCAUCAACAUGUAUUUAAUAGUCCGACCCAUCCACCUGCCAGUCAUCUAGGAAGUAACCUUGCUGUGCCUGACUUUCCACAUAUGAGAAGUGGAGAUGUGUAUAUUUUCCCUCAUCUACCCCGGAGGGAUGGUGAAAGGAUUACUGAGACAAUAGCCAUAAAGCUAUUUGAGCUUCUUACCAAAAGGUGCUACUGGAAUACAAAUUAUUAUUAGCAUUACCAUUGUUACAUGGUUUAAAACUACAAUAUGAAAAGCAGGGUCUAUAGAUCAGUGUGUCAGCAUCCUGCAUAGCUUAAGAUCAGUUUGAAGUUGGUUGUCUUUGCAUGCUUGGGUCCUAUAUUAAAGCAUUCUUUGCAUGAAAGCAUAUUCAAGGGGCCAGAUGUAGUCAUGCUGUAAGAAGAAUAACGAAGGUGCAAGAACAGACAUGCACAGGUAACACCUGUGGAAAAUGGAUGUUUGAGCUCACAUUUCUGUAAUGGGUGUUUAUGUUACACAGUCCCACUGUGGUGGAGUUGGGGGGACUCUCACAAAGCUUUAUUAAGUGCUUAAUGUACAGAGUGUGUGACCUGAGAUCAGCUAGAAACAGAUACUGAAAUUUUGCUUUGAUAAGCGAAGCAUUUUGAUAGAAACUAAAACUGCGGUAUCACUGCACAUUCUUUCUUGGGGACAAAUAUGAUAUUUCUAGUCAUUUAAGACCCUGCCCAGGGUUUGAUCCUUGAGAAGCACCCUGGAGCACAGGCAAGAACAUGGGCUCUGGAGUCAGACAUGCCUGGGGCCUCAGGCACCUUGGUUUCUAGCCAUAAAAACGGGGACAAUAACAUCUACCUCAAAGGUUGUUGUGAAGAUCACAUAAUGAAAUGUGCAUAAAGAACCCAGCACCAGAGUAGGUCCUCUUUAAAGAUUAUUCUUGUUCCCUGAUGUUUGGCAUGUUUGAAGCAUCUAUAUUGUUCUUCAAAUACAAUUGAUAAUGCUAGCAUGCAAAAAAACCCCCCUACUUUUGAAUACUAAAUUUAAAUGUUGGGCAACCCAGAGGUGAUUUUCUUUUCUAUAGGUAGCUCACUAAAAAAGACAUUCUGCAAUUGGACAGGCCCAUUUAGAACAGGCUCAUUAGAACAGCCAUGGAGCGCAUUCCAGAGUAUUCCUAAGGGUCUAAAUUCCCAGGGAUAUCAUUCUGCAGGCAGAGUUUAUUCUUAGACAGUUUAAUCCCUCCAACGGUGUCUCUGCAAAGUUCUUCCUCUGAAUUCUGAGGUCAUUCUAAUUCUUUUCUCUUGGGGCACAGAGGUCCUGUAUAAUUUACUGCUCCCUUCUUCUUAUUGAGUGUUCCUGUACUUUAAAAUGCCUUUUAAGGGCCAUCUAGAAAAGGACGGAAAAAAUGGUACAAAAAUGGAGGUGGGGUGAGGGGGGGAAAUUUUGCAAGAGUUUGGUGUAUGACCCUGCACCCCAGGCCCCAGCCUCCAUACAGGAAAUGCUCCGGGGCCACGCUGCGGCCUCCAUAGAGGCCCACAGACUUUCACAGCAAUUCGAGCUGACGGAGGUGAGGCCCCUCACUUCUCUGGCAAUUAUGAGCCUGUGGCAAUAAAAUAGACACACGCAGCCACGCAGCCACUGUACUCCAGAAGUUUUCUUGUUUGACAGUUGCAGAAUUAACACCAAGUGCCUUCAUAAUAAAAGCUAGGGUGUCGGGGCAGGAAGUGGGGUGGUGUUCUUUAACAUUUGCUCUGUGGCCCCUGAUGAGCUGGAUUCACACAUAACAUGAGACACCUGCACUCGGUGACUUGAAGGAGUUUUGCGUUAGUUGGUAAGAGAAGAGAAGAGGAGGAAUGGAGGAGAGAGGCCAUCAAGAUGGAGCCAAUGGAAUGGCUCUUCAAACAUACUCUGCUCAGAAUAUCCCGAGAAGCCGUGAAAACCAUGGGGGGCUGGGGUGGGGAGCAGUCAUUUAUUCUAAGCUUCGCGGGGUUCCUCAUUUAUUAUCACCUCAGGACUGUCGCCGCUAAUUUUCCUUUUCUUUACAAAGGGGCCAGUGACACAAAUUUAAAAAAAUUACAAAAACAAUAGAGGAAAACUCAAAGGGUUUUAUAACAUACUUAGCAUACCAAUUCUAGAAGUGAAUUUCUGGAUGUUUUCAAAAAGGACAAACUUUCUUCAAGAAAUUCAAAAAUUCAUGCUGAAAUUGACAUUAAUUUAGAAAAGCUGAAAUGAGCGAACACAUAGCUCAUUUGACACUAAAUGGAAGCAAUAUUAUUCCAAAUAAAAGUAAAAAUAUGUUAACAAACCAGACACCAAUGUUGUGUACAAAGUAAUAUUGAAUACAAUAUCGUUUUCUAAAAGCUUUUUCUUACUAAAAUAUAUCAAGAAGUCUUUAAAAAUGAUUACUUCUUCCUGUGAUGCAGAAAUGUGUCUAGUUAACAUAGGAAUAACUAAGAUGGAGAAUUGCUUUGGCCUCAUGCUAUUUUUAACACCUAAAUUUCAUGAAGGAACAAAUGGUUUCUUUGAAUAGUUCUUUGCAAGCAUGCCUGUUUUAAUCAGAAUGCUUGUGCAAUGCAUAAACUUAGCUGUAUCAAACUAAGGCGAAACACAGUGUAGACAACUGGAGAGUAAUUUGUUUGAUGUGGACCCUAAGCAACUACAAACCCUAACUUAAAACACAUCACUGUCCGUACUUCGAAAGGAAAAGACUAGCAUUUCUGGGGCACUCUGGGUUUAUUUCUCCAGAAAUAGAAGAAAUAAAGCAGCCACUUUUAUAAGUUUGGACAUAUUUACAGCAUUGCUUUAUUUUCUUAAAGCAUAGCAGCAUCCAUUCAUCACUUGAGAAUAACAAAGCAGUAACCUGAUAUAUGACAAAUAUUAUGAGCUUAAUGGCUGAUGUCCAUUACCGAUGGGUCCUGUUCCCUCUUUGGAGGAGACUGGCACUGAAGGAUUACUGAGUAAACAGCACACCUGAAAAAACUUGCGCUCCACAGUCUGUCAUCAGGGCUCUGAUCGAGGGCAUUACCUGAGAACUGUGGCUCUUAUCUGAAGCUGCAAAUUGCUGCCACUGCCAACAAUCCUCAACAAAGAGCGGCCGUCAGGGAAGGCUGAGCCACCGAGGCAGGCGGCGGGGGAUGCCGCCUCUCCAUCGCCCGCCCCCUUUGUGGAUCACCUGAGCCCAAGCACCGCACCAUCCUUUAAUCGUGGAUGACCACAGCAACUGAGGACAGGCAUCCCACAUCUGUAUGUGCUGAAAAAAAGGCUCCAAGCAUUCUCUUGUCAUCCUAUAAAAUAUUUAGCAUCUAAACCGCAUCUUUAAUUUCACAACCAAAGGACCUCAUAUGCCUGAGAACUAAACUUGUCCUACUGGUUUGGCCCUCAUGAAAAGUGUUGUUCAGCCAAGCGAGACGAAACAUGUGACAAUGCUCUGAACCCAUAACGGGAACAGUGAAAAUAAAAUGAGAUCAAAUUUGCAUAUAGCCAGGGACAAAAGACUUCCUACCAAAAAGAUAGUAUAUUGAAUGAUGUAAUUCCACAAAAUCAGAGACACCAGAUGAAAUCAAUGAUGAAGGAGAAGACUUGGAAGAAGAAAACAACUUCAGUCUACGGGGUGCCAUAUUCUGGAUGUGGGUCCACCAUUGGUAACACCUGCCAGAUAGAUCUGCCAUAGUUUAUUCUCCAAACCCCCACCUGCUGUGUUAUUUUUUUUCUGGUUUCUCUUUUUGUCCUAGCUAAAGAGGACACCUGUGUCAUCAUUAAGAACCCUGGGCAGGCCAGGGCUGCACCUCUGUAGUGUGGAAGCAAGAGCAGCUGGGAUUUUCUCCUUCCCUUCUCCUCAUCGCAUGAAAACAAAGGAGCAGGGAUGUAAGGGACAGCAUGGUGACUAGAGUUAACAAUACUGUAUCGUAUACUUGAAAGGUGUUAGGAGAGUAGAUCUUAAAUGUU
Non-coding RNA from Equus caballus (horse), 7943 nucleotides. NCBI's taxonomy places the organism in Eukaryota, Metazoa, Chordata, Mammalia, Perissodactyla, Equidae. The record is from RefSeq and is a predicted model, not a curated record.